This 77-nucleotide transfer RNA is filed under the name Podarcis lilfordi (Lilford's wall lizard). RNAcentral describes it as "tRNA.Ile". Lineage: Eukaryota; Metazoa; Chordata; Lepidosauria; Squamata; Lacertidae. The record is from RNAcentral.
GCCUGGAUAGCUGAGUUGGUUAGAGCGUGGUGCUGAUAAUGCCAAGGUUGCAGGUUUGAUCCCCGUAUGGGAAAGCU